Dryobates pubescens (Downy woodpecker) is the source of this 1053-nucleotide long non-coding RNA. RefSeq lists it as uncharacterized. NCBI's taxonomy places the organism in Eukaryota, Metazoa, Chordata, Aves, Piciformes, Picidae. The transcript is spliced from 4 exons. The record is from RefSeq and is a predicted model, not a curated record.
AUAACUGCAGUGACAUAAAUGAAAUCUGACUUUCAAAAUAAUACAAAUAACACAGUUUACCACUAACCUUGUUCUUAAACCAACUCUUAAAUCAUUAAACCAUCUUACUUAAACCACAUCUCUUGAACCACCACUGAUCUCUAAGCUCUCUGAUACUAAAUCUCCUAAGGGAUAGGAUCAAAGCAGUUUUUAAAAAUAAAGGCAGUGAUACUCCACAGAUGAAAGCAGGACAGUUACAAUGAAAGUCAGCAUAUUAUAUUUUCUCAGGUGCCAAGGAGGGAUAUUAAGCAUCGUUUGUUUUUCCUUUCUGCAGCUUAAAAGGAUCAGGAUGGAUUUUUGAUAUCCAUGAAAUUUGACACAUCAGACUGAUAACAACAGCAUGGCAGAGAACAGCCAUAACAGGAAUUGGAUUCACCACAAAUCACAACUGAAGAGAAUUAAAUUUCUAUUUUGGAAAUCAAAUUCUGGCUGAGGAAGGAGUUAUCUUUUGUAGGAAUACAAACUCCAAGAUCAUGGACAAAGUAAUUUUAACUGGAGACACAGACUUUCCAAGAAGCCAAGUUAAACAUCUUAAAUCAGCAUUAAGACCCUGAAAGAUGAAGGGAUAGAGUGUACCCUCAUUAAGUCUGAUGAUGAUUCCAAAGUGGGAGGAUAAGCUGGCAUACCAGAAGGCUGUCCUGCCAUUCAGAGACAUCUGGACAAACUGUAGAGUUCGGCAGAGAGGAACCCAAUGAAAUUCAACAAGGACACUUACACACACCAGUACUAUUUAGGGCUUGACCUGCUGGACAGCAGCUCCACAAAGAGCCUUGGAGUCCUGGUGGACACUUCUGUUCCCUAGAAAGAUCACAGUGGGACACCUCCAGCCAAAGUCCUCCUGAGGCAUUGUGCCCUGAUGGGAUGCAGUUGAAUACAGAUGGCAGGGAGGUAUCUCAAGACAAUGGAGCACGGGAAAGCACCCAUCUCCCUCUAGCAAUCAGAUAAACAUGCCGGAAGAAGGGGAGACUGCCUGUUAUCUUGCUUGGGCAGGCAAGGAGACAAGACUUCACAAGG